GGGUAGAGUAAUGCGUGACCAACCUGCCCCAUGCUCCAGAAUAGCUCUUGGAAACGGGUGGUAAUGCUGGAUGCUCCAACUUGACGCAUGUCUUGUUGGGAAAGUGUUUAGUGGCAUGGGAUGGGGUCGCGUCCUAUCAGCUUGUAGGCGGGGUAAUGGCCCACCUAGGCUUCGACGGGUAGCCGGCCUGAGAGGGCGGACGGCCACACUGGGACUGAGAUACGGCCCAGACUCCUACGGGAGGCAGCAGGC
This 252-nucleotide ribosomal RNA is filed under the name uncultured Gardnerella sp. RNAcentral describes it as "partial 16S ribosomal RNA". It matches the Rfam family "Bacterial small subunit ribosomal RNA", at positions 100 to 354 of the family's 1533-position model. The record is from RNAcentral. Lineage: Bacteria; Bacillati; Actinomycetota; Actinomycetes; Bifidobacteriales; Bifidobacteriaceae.